RNAcentral lists this ribosomal RNA (253 nucleotides) under uncultured bacterium. Its description in RNAcentral is "partial 16S ribosomal RNA". It matches the Rfam family "Bacterial small subunit ribosomal RNA", at positions 524 to 776 of the family's 1533-position model. The record is from RNAcentral.
UACGAAGGGGGCUAGCGUUGCUCGGAAUCACUGGGCGUAAAGCGCACGUAGGCGGAUUGUUAAGUCAGGGGUGAAAUCCUGGAGCUCAACUCCAGAACUGCCUUUGAUACUGACGAUCUCGAGUCCGGGAGAGGUGAGUGGAACUGCGAGUGUAGAGGUGAAAUUCGUAGAUAUUCGCAAGAACACCAGUGGCGAAGGCGGCUCACUGGUCCGGUACUGACGCUGAGGUGCGAAAGCGUGGGGAGCAAACGGG